GACGAACGCUGGCGGCGUGCUUAACACAUGCAAGUCGAACGGUGACCCAGGGCUUGCCCUGGUGAUCAGUGGCGAACGGGUGAGUAACACGUGGGCAACCUGCCCCUGACUUCGGGAUAACUCCUCGAAAGAGGAGCUAAUACCGGAUACGACCACUUCGGACAUCCGAUGGUGGUGGAAAGUUUUUCGGUCAGGGAUGGGCCCGCGGCCUAUCAGCUAGUUGGUGGGGUAAUGGCCUACCAAGGCGACGACGGGUAGCCGGCCUGAGAGGGCGACCGGCCACACUGGGACUGAGACACGGCCCAGACUCCUACGGGAGGCAGCAGUGGGGAAUAUUGCGCAAUGGGCGAAAGCCUGACGCAGCGACGCCGCGUGAGGGAUGAAGGCCUUCGGGUUGUAAACCUCUUUCAGCAGGGACGAAGCGAAAGUGACGGUACCUGCAGAAGAAGCACCGGCUAACUACGUGCCAGCAGCCGCGGUAA
Molecule: ribosomal RNA, 482 nt
Filed under: uncultured bacterium
Lineage: Bacteria
Description: bacterial SSU rRNA
Rfam family: Bacterial small subunit ribosomal RNA
Source: RNAcentral